GGAGUGCCCCGCCCCACCCACAUGUGGAGCCGGAGAGAAGGUGGUCACCUUCUCAUCUAGUGAUACAUACCUGCUGUGACAUUGGACACUAUGCUGCGUCCAGCGCGGCACCAUGGAGCCCAGCGGCCUGCGCCCUAAUGCCUCCUUGCCCCCACGCUGCAUUGCAUUGCAUCGCACCCAUAGGCCCCAGCGCUGGGGCUCGACCCCGUGCCCUGAGCACCUGGCCACGACUGUGCGGAGGCCCCCCGCGUGGAAGUACUGCUGAGGACUCGGGACAGUGCUGUGCCGGACAGCCUCGGCCAGGUCCAUCUUGCUGGAGCCCAUCUACUGGGAUUCCUCCAAUGCCAAGAUUUUUUUAUGUGGGGAGAAGUGCCUGGAUCAACCAAUUCAGAAGCUGCUCCAAUCAGCAGAUGAAGAAG
Long non-coding RNA from Erinaceus europaeus (western European hedgehog), 419 nucleotides. RefSeq lists it as uncharacterized. The record is from RefSeq and is a predicted model, not a curated record. The transcript is spliced from 3 exons. Lineage: Eukaryota; Metazoa; Chordata; Mammalia; Eulipotyphla; Erinaceidae.